AGUGAACGCUGGCGGUAGGCCUAACACAUGCAAGUCGAACGGCAGCACAGUAAGAGCUUGCUCUUACGGGUGGCGAGUGGCGGACGGGUGAGGAAUACAUCGGAAUCUACUUUUUCGUGGGGGAUAACGUAGGGAAACUUACGCUAAUACCGCAUACGACCUACGGGUGAAAGCAGGGGAUCUUCGGACCUUGCGCGAUUGAAUGAGCCGAUGUCGGAUUAGCUAGUUGGCGGGGUAAAGGCCCACCAAGGCGACGAUCUGUAGCUGGUCUGAGAGGAUGAUCAGCCACACUGGAACUGAGACACGGUCCAGACUCCUACGGGAGGCAGCAGCGGGGAAUAUUGGACAAUGGGCGCAAGCCUGAUCCAGCCAUACCGCGUGGGUGAAGAAGGCCUUCGGGUUGUAAAGCCCUUUUGUUGGGAAAGAAAAGCAGCAGGUUAAUACCCCGCUGUUCUGACGGUACCCAAAGAAUAAGCACCGGCUAACUUCGUG
RNAcentral lists this ribosomal RNA (492 nucleotides) under uncultured bacterium. Its description in RNAcentral is "partial 16S ribosomal RNA". It matches the Rfam family "Bacterial small subunit ribosomal RNA", at positions 29 to 507 of the family's 1533-position model. The record is from RNAcentral.